Molecule: ribosomal RNA, 578 nt
Filed under: uncultured bacterium
Lineage: Bacteria
Description: bacterial SSU rRNA
Rfam family: Bacterial small subunit ribosomal RNA
Source: RNAcentral
CCUACGGGAGGCAGCAGUAAGGAAUAUUGGGCAAUGGAGGCAACUCUGACCCAGCCAUGCCGCGUGAAGGAUGAAGGCCCUCUGGGUUGUAAACUUCUUUUAUAGGGGACGAAAAAAGCUCAUUCUUGAGCACUUGACGGUACCCUAGGAAUAAGCACCGGCUAACUCCGUGCCAGCAGCCGCGGUAAUACGGAGGGUGCGAGCGUUAUCCGGAAUUACUGGGUUUAAAGGGUGCGUAGGCGGCCCUGUAAGUCAGGAGUGAAAGUUUGCGGCUCAACCGUAAAAUUGCUUUUGAUACUGCGGGGCUAGAAUUAGGAUGAGGUAAGCGGAAUAUGUCAUGUAGCGGUGAAAUGCUUAGAUAUGACAUAGAACACCAAUUGCGAAGGCAGCUUACUACGGGAUUAUUGACACUGAGGCACGAAAGCGUGGGGAUCAAACAGGAUUAGAUACCCUGGUAGUCCACGCCCUAAACGAUGGAUACUCGACAUACGCGAUACACUGUGUGUGUCUGAGCGAAAGCAUUAAGUAUCCCACCUGGGAAGUACGAUCGCAAGAUUGAAACUCAAAGGAAUUGACGG